Notothenia coriiceps (black rockcod) is the source of this 1521-nucleotide long non-coding RNA. RefSeq lists it as uncharacterized. The transcript has 3 exons. The record is from RefSeq and is a predicted model, not a curated record. NCBI's taxonomy places the organism in Eukaryota, Metazoa, Chordata, Actinopteri, Perciformes, Nototheniidae.
UUUUUUUGACUUCAGGAUUCCUGCAUAUACCCUGCUAUUAGACCAUUUCUAACAAAAACAAAUGUGUAUAUGUUUGAAUUCGGGCCAAUAAAACCUUUUCUUUCUAUAUCAUCCAGAUAUUUUACAGGGCAACUUUAAGCCGGACUACUAUUUGAAACACAUUCAGAAGGACCUGAGGUUAGCCAUCUCCAUGGGUGACACGGCCAACCAUCCCACCCCCAUGGCCGCUGCAGCCAAUGAGGUCUACAAGAGGGCCAAGGCACUGGACCAGUCAGACAACGAUAUCUCUGCUGUGUACAGAGCCUACAUCCACUGAGCCGGUUGGGAUCCGGCCCAGCGUCUUCAAUCCUUCUUUCUCCCUUGUCGAGUAAUGCAUUUCUUAUUUCAUUUUAAAUUCUAGUUAUUUUACUUCAUUUUGCCACAGCAGCCGCCAUGUUGGUGCCCACAAUUGAGGGGAUUGUUAUUCCUUAGUUGGGGGGCCUUGAACAUUGCACUGACUGUACUGGGGUAUAAUUGCUGUGAGAGCUUGUACUACUGCAGUUGCUUUGUCUAGUUUCUGACAGCUGAAAUAGAAGUCAUGCGGGGCGGGGGGGGUUUCCUGGAUGGAUCGCCCUAAAGAAGAUUAUUUUUUCGUUCAUGUGAAAAUGAGUAUAUUUAAAUGAGUGUGAUAUUUGCUUUUUGCUUUAAAAUGUCCUGAAUUCCACGAGAGAAAACACCAAGAACAUGCCACUGCGUUGCCUUAAUAUUGUGUAACCCCUCAAGUCUUUCAACAUUAGUAUUUAUUUCUGUUUCUUUCUAGGUCUGCUUGGUGCAGAUUGGCCAUUGCUUAUUUCUAUAUUUGAAGAGAUGAUUUAUGCAUUUAUUUCUUACAUUGCCCGCAACAGGAUACAGGUUAAUGAAGGGGAGGGGGGGGCAGAUGCUCACAUGACAAGGAUGGUCUUGACUGUGUAGUGGAGGUCUUCACAAGUUCACACUCAAAAACAGUGUGUCCUUUACAUAGUUUUUUUUACACUGUAAAUGUUCCUGCUCCAUACAUAUAUUAAAUACUCCUUCAAAAAUUCAUUUUCUGAUAACUCAAAUUCCUUGUGGUUUUCUGCUUCCAACAUUCUUUAUCUAGGGAUCUACUUGUGUCUAGUUUAUGUUGAGUAUAAUUAUGUUAGACGGGUCAAGUUUUGUUACUGUGGUUCUCAGUUAUCUGCGUCAAUAUAUAAUACCCUUAUCCAUUUGGAUUUAUAAUCAUCUGUAACGUGUCCUGUCCAAUGAAGUUCCAUUUAGCAUUUUAUCAACAAUAUUCGACCUGUGAAGACCUACAUCACACCCAAACUAAUGCAGAUGUUAAUGUCCUACAUCACACCCAAACUAAUGCAGAUGUUAAUGUCCUACAUCACACCCAAACUAAUGAAGAUGUUAAUGUCCUACAUCACACCCAAACUAAUGCAGAUGUCAAUGUCCAGCAUACUGUGGGGCAAAAAAGUAUUUAGUCAGCCACCAAUUGUGCAAGUUCUCCCACUUAAAAAGAUG